CCUACGGGAGGCAGCAGUGAGGAAUAUUCGUCAAUGGACGAGAGUCUGAACCAGCCAAGUAGCGUGAAGGAUGACUGCCCUAUGGGUUGUAAACUUCGUUUAUAUGGGAAUAAAAUGUUCCACGUGUGGGAUUUUGUCUGUACCAUAUGAAUAAGGAUCGGCUAACUCCGUGCCAGCAGCCGCGGUAAUACGGAGGAUCCGAGCGUUGUCCGGAUUUAUUGGGUUUAAAGGGAGCGUAGGUGGAUUGUUAAGUCAGUUGUGAAAGUUUACGGCUCAACCGGAAAAUGGCAGUUGAAACUGGGAGUCUUGAGUACAGAAGAGGUGAGCGGAAUUCGUGGUGUAGCGGUGAAAUGCUUAGAUAUAACGAAGAACUCCGAUGGCGAAGGCAGCUCACUGGACUGCAACUGACACUGAGGCUCGAAAGUGUGGGUAGCAAACAGGAUUAGAUACCCUUGUAGUC
This 460-nucleotide ribosomal RNA is filed under the name uncultured bacterium. Its description in RNAcentral is "partial 16S ribosomal RNA". It matches the Rfam family "Bacterial small subunit ribosomal RNA", at positions 338 to 795 of the family's 1533-position model. The record is from RNAcentral.